AAAACCUAAAGUGAUCCGAUUAAUAAAAGUUAAGCCACAGAUGUAACAAUCAUAGACAGAAAAGAUAAUAGCAGAGGAACCGACAGAAGAAGCAAAGCUAGAGCUGAACCAGAUAACCAAGAACUUCCAGAUUUCCAAGCACAAGACUUAGAUAAUCACAGCAAGCCUGAUCGAUUCAAAUUCCAACUAUCUUUCACCAGGAAACUACUAGAAUUCUGCUACUGCAUCUGCUCCAACUAUACAAACGAGCUGAGACCUGUGCUAAUUUGGUGGAUCCUCUUCCACCCACUACCUGUCUUCUUCGUAUAUUUGGCUAAAAAAGUUAGCUGCUUUGACUUCCUUCUCUGGAAUCAUGGGCAAUUGCUGCUCCGUACAAUGUAGUUUCGAGAAUUUCCUUCUUCGUGGCUGGGAUUUCAUUGUUGGUCAUGCUAAUUAUGUCUGCAAGCUUAAACAAACUCUUCCAACUUUAUCUUCUGCUCUUCAAGAACUGAGGGCACAAAGAAAUGACGUGCGAAGGCAGGUUGAUCUUGCAGAACAACGACUAUUGAAGCCAUUUGAGCAAGUUCAGCUAUGGCUUUCAAAAGCAGAAACUAUGAUAACAGAGGCGGAGGAAUUGGUUUCAAAUGGUCCUCAACAAAUGAAUAACUUGUGUCUCGGUGGCUGCAUUUCCAAGUGUGAAAAAUAAAAUAGAAUAAAAUAAAUAAAAAUAAAGAACACAUAAAUUUUACGUGGAAACCCUUUCGGGAAAAAAACCACGGGCAGAGGAGAAGAAAAUUCACUAUGUCGAAAAAUUUUUACUCUAAUACAAGAGGAAUAGACUAUGUCUAUUUAUAGGCUUGCAAAGCCAUAUUCUAAGAGGAUUGAAA
Gossypium arboreum is the source of this 866-nucleotide long non-coding RNA. RefSeq lists it as uncharacterized. NCBI's taxonomy places the organism in Eukaryota, Viridiplantae, Streptophyta, Magnoliopsida, Malvales, Malvaceae. The transcript has 2 exons. The record is from RefSeq and is a predicted model, not a curated record.